UAGGGAAACUCUACAUCAACGUGCCGUAGAUAGUCUUGAGGACCUUGAGAUAGUACCUGAUCAUACUAGCAAUUGUAUCAACGGUUAGCUACUAGCAAGAGGAAAUGAUGGUUAGUCUUGGGCGGGUUGUUUAUCUCGGAUAGGCGUGACUAGUGAAAUAAAGUAUCUCAAACUUUCUUAUCUGGUGGAAAUUUUGCGUGAUCAGCUAAUAGUAGUUUGAUCAAACUUUGUACCUUUAAGUUUCCAACUUUUGUACAUUACCGUUUGUA
Long non-coding RNA from Helianthus annuus (common sunflower), 269 nucleotides. RefSeq lists it as uncharacterized. The record is from RefSeq and is a predicted model, not a curated record. The transcript has 3 exons. NCBI's taxonomy places the organism in Eukaryota, Viridiplantae, Streptophyta, Magnoliopsida, Asterales, Asteraceae.